This 410-nucleotide long non-coding RNA is filed under the name Capsicum annuum. Its description in RNAcentral is "long non-coding RNA (CANN_LNC000539)". Lineage: Eukaryota; Viridiplantae; Streptophyta; Magnoliopsida; Solanales; Solanaceae. The record is from RNAcentral.
GCCCUUCUAAUGAAAAACCUUAAGAUCAACCUAAGUACCAAUGCACCCAAUCAAUUUUUUGUUAUAGUGGUUGUUCGCAACAAAUUUUCGUUAGUGCUGAAAAUUAACUGCAAGCAAAAAUAAAAUAAAUAAAAAGAAUUAUUUUAUUUAAAUGAAUCUUGUGAGUAUAAUUAUGUUGUUCUCUUGAUUCUUCUCUCCUAAACUUAGAAAUUAUCUGAGGGCCUUCAGUAGCUUGUUUCUCGAAUCGUUGGAUGAUUGGCCUCCUAGAGACGUAUUUCAAUCGUCAGGAAUGUCGAAAAGUGUUUUGUCGCUUUGGAAUAAUCUCCGGGAAGAACUCCGCUGAUUGCUCCUUGCAAGAACUUGAUAGUCAAUGCAGACAUUGCCAAUGCUUGUCAAAGUCCUCUUUUCCC